UACGUAGGGUGCAAGCGUUAAUCGGAAUUACUGGGCGUAAAGCAUGCGCAGGCGGUUAUGCAAGACAGAGGUGAAAUCCCCGGGCUCAACCUGGGAACUGCCUUUGUGACUGCAUAGCUAGAGUACGGUAGAGGGGGAUGGAAUUCCGCGUGUAGCAGUGAAAUGCGUAGAGAUGUGGAGGAACACCGAUGGCGAAGGCAGCCCCCUGGGUCAACACUGACGCUCAGGCACGAAAGCGUGGGGAGCAAACAGG
This 253-nucleotide ribosomal RNA is filed under the name uncultured bacterium. RNAcentral describes it as "partial 16S ribosomal RNA". It matches the Rfam family "Bacterial small subunit ribosomal RNA", at positions 524 to 776 of the family's 1533-position model. The record is from RNAcentral.